Molecule: ribosomal RNA, 229 nt
Filed under: uncultured bacterium
Lineage: Bacteria
Description: partial 16S ribosomal RNA
Rfam family: Bacterial small subunit ribosomal RNA
Source: RNAcentral
UGCGUAGGCGGAAUAUUAAGUCAGUGGUGAAAUCCUGCGGCUCAACCGUAGAACUGCCAUUGAUACUGAUAUUCUUGAAUGUAGUUGAGGUAGGCGGAAUGUGUAAUGUAGCGGUGAAAUGCUUAGAUAUUACACAGAACACCGAUUGCGAAGGCAGCUCACUAAACUACUACUGACGCUGAGGCACGAAAGCGUGGGGAGCGAACAGGAUUAGAUACCCUGGUAGUCC